This is a small nucleolar RNA of Sorex fumeus (smoky shrew), 125 nucleotides long. RefSeq annotates it as small nucleolar RNA SNORA27. The record is from RefSeq and is a predicted model, not a curated record. The transcript has a single exon. Lineage: Eukaryota; Metazoa; Chordata; Mammalia; Eulipotyphla; Soricidae.
UACCCCCUUCUCAUUUUACCUAUUCAUCUUAUGUCUUUAUUGGUUAUUCAGAUGGAGAAAAGGAAAUAUCCUAACAUAAUUUAAGCAAACAACUGUUUGUCUUGUAUCUUUCAGAGGAAACAAUA